CAGCUGCUGGCCGACCCCAGCCCUGCUGCCCUCUAGGCCGAUGCCUGAGAAGGGUGCCACAUCCUGCCCCCGGGGCCCAGCCGCCCCGACCCCAGGGAGCUCCUGGCCUGCCGAGACCAGCUCGGCGACUUGAGGAGAAGAUACGCCUGUAGGAGAAGAUAAGCCUAUUCGAGUUAUUUCUUUUUCCGUCAAUCCUUGGAGCGUUCCUCCUGUGCACCUGAGAACUUAAACAUAGGAUAAUUAAAAGACAACAAAAAGUAUCAAAAUGCUUAGGAGACUGCUAUUCAUGCCUUUUAUCCAAUCCAAUGGAUGCAAUGCUUUUAAUCCAUCAGCUAUACUUUGUAAAGUAGCAAAUUUGGUGUAGAGACUGCAAAAAUCAUAUUGCAUGCCAGUUAUUUUAGUUUGUAAUUGUUGUAUGUCCAGUGUGAGACCAUCCGCUCCAUAUCCCAGCAGAUGUGUCACUGGCAUCAUGGCCAUCCCAGAUUUGUAAUGUUAAUAUAAUUAAUUGCAAUGGCUGAUUAACAGUUACUCUCUGUAAUUGAGAAGAAUGAAUUUUAUUUUCUACAAGUUUUAGUUCCUCUAAAGCAGCUGAUGUUAAAGUUCUUGGACUAUUUAAUUUUGAAUCUCCUUUUAACAAAGCAAAUAGGUUAGACAAUGCAUAGGUGGGGAUCCCUAUGCAUGGGCGAAGCCAAUUAAUAUCUCCUAGGAGUUUUUGCAAAUCAUUAAGAGUUUGGAUUUGAUCUGACCUCAGUUCCACCUUUUGUGGUCUAAUAGUUGUUCUAUCAACUAUUGUGCCCAAAUAUUGAUAUGGGCUAUGCAUUUGUACCUUUUCCGGAGCUAUUUUAAGUCCUGCUCUAUCAAGGCAAAGCUGCAUGCUAAUAUACGCAGAAGUAAGUAAAUCUUGAUUAGGAGCAGCACACAAGAUAUCAUCCAUGUAAUGGAUAAGAUAACAAUUAGGAAAUUCUAGUCGUACUGGUCCAAGGGCUUUAGCAACAAAAUUCUGGCAAAUAGUAGGGCUAUUCAACAUGCCUUGAGGUAACACCUUCCAUUGAAACCUUUUUCGAGGUUCUUUAUUAUUUAGUGCAGGCACAGAAAAAGCAAAUUUUUCUUUAUCUUUGGGAUGUAAUGGAAUGGUGAAAAAGCAGUCUUUCAGAUCAAUAACUAUUAAAGGCCAAUUAGCAGGGAUCAUAUUAGGUGAUGGGAGGCCUGGUUGUAAGGCCCCCAUUGGUUGUAUAACUGCAUUGACUGCUCUGAGAUCUGUUAAUAAACGCCAUUUACCA
Long non-coding RNA from Hippopotamus amphibius kiboko, 1280 nucleotides. RefSeq lists it as uncharacterized. The record is from RefSeq and is a predicted model, not a curated record. NCBI's taxonomy places the organism in Eukaryota, Metazoa, Chordata, Mammalia, Artiodactyla, Hippopotamidae. The transcript has 2 exons.